UAGGGAAUCUUCGGCAAUGGACGAAAGUCUGACCGAGCAACGCCGCGUGAGUGAAGAAGGUUUUCGGAUCGUAAAACUCUGUUGUUAGAGAAGAACAAGGACGUUAGUAACUGAACGUCCCCUGACGGUAUCUAACCAGAAAGCCACGGCUAACUACGUGCCAGCAGCCGCGGUAAUACGUAGGUGGCAAGCGUUGUCCGGAUUUAUUGGGCGUAAAGCGAGAGCAGGCGUUUUCUUAAGUCUGAUGUGAAAGCACCCGGCUCAACCGGGGAGGGUCAUUGGAAACUGGGAGACUUGAGUGCAGAAGAGUAGAGUGGAACUCCAUGUGUAGCGGUGACAUGCGUAGCUAUAUGGAGGAACACCAGUGGCGAAGGCGGCUCUCUGGUCUGUAACUGACGCUGAGGCUCGAAAGCGUGGGGAGCAAACAGG
This 429-nucleotide ribosomal RNA is filed under the name Gemmatimonadota bacterium. Its description in RNAcentral is "Gemmatimonadetes bacterium partial 16S ribosomal RNA". It matches the Rfam family "Bacterial small subunit ribosomal RNA", at positions 355 to 776 of the family's 1533-position model. Lineage: Bacteria; Pseudomonadati; Gemmatimonadota. The record is from RNAcentral.